AUUGAACGCUGGCGGCAGGCCUAACACAUGCAAGUCGAGCGGAUGAAGGGAGCUUGCUCCUGGAUUCAGCGGCGGACGGGUGAGUAAUGCCUAGGAAUCUGCCUGGUAGUGGGGGAUAACGUCCGGAAACGGGCGCUAAUACCGCAUACGUCCUGAGGGAGAAAGUGGGGGAUCUUCGGACCCCACGCUAUCAGAUGAGCCUAGGUCGGAUUAGCUAGUUGGUGGGGUAAAGGCCUACCAGGGCGACGAUCCGUAACUGGUCUGAGAGGAUGAUCAGUCACACUGGAAGUGAGACACGGUCCAGACUCCUAAGGGAGGCAGCAGUGGGGAAAAUUGGACAAUAGGCGAGAGCCUGAUCCAGGCACGCCGCGUGUGUGAAGAAGGUCUUCGGAUUGUAAAGCGCUGUUAGUUGGGAGGAAGGGCAGUAAGUUAAUACCUUGCUGUUUUGACGUUACCAACAGAGUAAGCACCGGCUAACUUCGUG
This 484-nucleotide ribosomal RNA is filed under the name uncultured bacterium. RNAcentral describes it as "partial 16S ribosomal RNA". It matches the Rfam family "Bacterial small subunit ribosomal RNA", at positions 30 to 507 of the family's 1533-position model. The record is from RNAcentral.